Molecule: long non-coding RNA, 1774 nt
Organism: Pezoporus occidentalis (night parrot)
Lineage: Eukaryota; Metazoa; Chordata; Aves; Psittaciformes; Psittacidae
Exons: 4
Source: RefSeq, a predicted model, not a curated record
CAAUAGGACAUUUUAAUUAAGGAUGGAUAAGAUGGUGUGAAACAUUGACUACAAAACCCUCUUUUGCAAAAUUUAUUUUGAAAAGCUAUGCAGAAUACUAAUUCUUUUCCAAAUGCUCUAAACCUGAAUUUCCUGGAACAGAACACAUAUAAUUGGAAUGGGAAUGAAAGGGCAAAACAUAAUAAACAUACUUAACAGGCCAUAACCAUUAACUACUAAGGGGUUAAUUAACUACCAGUGACACACUUGUCCCAAACUAAGACCUGGUUGGACUUUUGCACUUCGUCCCACAGAGUAGCUGAGAAUCAUAAAGCUCUUACAGGAUGUUUGCUGUAUGAACAUACUGUAAUGCUCCAAGUAGAAAUGGAAUAUCAAAGGAAAACAAUAUAAGUUGAAAUAAGGACAACAGAACAAACACUGAGUUACAUGAGCUUAUUUAUCAUCCUUCUGACACUACUGGAUUCCUUUUUCCCCAAAGGAAAUUUUCAUUCACUCAACAGCAAGGAAAGACUUACUGGCAAUGCUCAAAUUUGGAAAAACCAGCAAACAUGCAGUACUGUGCAGCAGAUGGCAAGAUGUUCUAGAGAUUCCAUUAAGAGCAUCUUGGUCAUCAUGUGAUGCAAGACAAAAGCAAACACUUGUAGCAGCCAACUGGAAUCAAUUCCUCUACAGUGACAACAGAGAUGGCAACCUACAGCUUGCAGGAACAAAAAGCUGAGAGUGAAAUCACAGGCCACCCACAUAUAUAGAGAUACCCCAAAGAACACAAAUACUCAUUAUUACACACAAGUCACAAGGAAUCAAGGACAGUUGAAAAAGAACCCAUGAUAUGUUAUCUUUCAAGAAGCUUGCUGAGCAGCUUCUAAGAGUUCCUCCUUUAGAGCACACUGAAAUGCCUGAGUUAAAGUACUGCAUGGAUUUCUACAUAUGAUGAGAUGUCAUAAUCAAGAAGACGAGCUACAAUAAGAAGCUACAAACAGCUUGGAUAAUAUUUUCUCAGCAUAGCACUACAUAAGAAAAAAUAGGAAGUCUUGAAGUUACCAGCAGCUACCUUGUUCUUAAGUGGAACACAGUUUCAUCCUGUAAAAGUUACAUAUUUCUAGAAGAAUUUGUAUGUAUUUUCACCUAGCUUGGUUUAAAUACAUAGGAAAUUAACCAGAUGAUUAUCAAGUUUUAACACAAGAGUUUGCCACUAACACUUAAAAACAUCUUGACAUUUCUCAGAAGCAUUUUUCCAUGGUUCAAGCAGCCAGGUUACAGGUUAAAGGGCUGAAUCCUGCAAAUAUUCAGGCUAUAAGCCUAUUUUCUGAAUAUAUAUACUGCUCCAAGUAAGUUUGAAGAACCUUGUCCUAUAUUCCUGGGUUUGAACUCUUUGGCUACAGUAAGCUCUUUCUUACCAUUUCUAACACACAUUGUCAAUACCUAUGUUGUAUAAAAGAAUAUUCUCAGCCCAACAUCCAAUAGCCAUUACAUUUUUAAGUCUUUCUUGAAGCUGGUACCCAUAAUUUAUUUUUGAGAAACCAUUUGCUAAUACAAGCUUUUUCCCCCCAUGCAAAGUGAUCUAUUACUGUCAAAUUUUCUAUGUGACUGUUACACAUCAACAAACUGGAAAGCAACCUAGCUUUUCAAAUUGGAUGUCUUCCUUUAAAUAAACCAUACAAAGAAAAUUAAUGUAUUGCUUUUUCAUUCAAAUGUCUCCCUUCAUGAUCAACGGCUGAUAUUCCCCACAAACAAUUUGUGGUAUCAGAAAGUUUGUCUUUGACAUAAUUCUAAA